Molecule: transfer RNA, 98 nt
Filed under: Promicromonospora citrea
Lineage: Bacteria; Bacillati; Actinomycetota; Actinomycetes; Micrococcales; Promicromonosporaceae
Description: tRNA-Asp
Source: RNAcentral
GCCUGGACCGGCUCGCGGAGCACGGAGCGGGCGACCUCGUCGUGGUCGCGGAGGCGGGGCUGCCGGUCGCGGCGCUGCUCGACGCCGUGGGCGGGGCG